UAGGGCAAUCUGCCCUAAAGACUGGGAUACCACUUGGAAACAGGUGCUAAUACCGGAUAACAACAUGAAUCGCAUGAUUCAAGUUUGAAAGGCGGCGUAAGCUGUCACUUUAGGAUGAGCCCGCGGCGCAUUAGCUAGUUGGUGGGGUAAAGGCCUACCAAGGCAAUGAUGCGUAGCCGAGUUGAGAGACUGAUCGGCCACAUUGGGACUGAGACACGGCCCAA
RNAcentral lists this ribosomal RNA (224 nucleotides) under uncultured Lactobacillaceae bacterium. RNAcentral describes it as "partial 16S ribosomal RNA". It matches the Rfam family "Bacterial small subunit ribosomal RNA", at positions 118 to 334 of the family's 1533-position model. Lineage: Bacteria; Bacillati; Bacillota; Bacilli; Lactobacillales; Lactobacillaceae. The record is from RNAcentral.